AUGGAUUAGAUACCCUGGUAGUCCACGCCGUAAACGGUGGGCGCUAGUUGUGCGAACCUUCCACGGUUUGUGCGACGCAGCUAACGCAUUAAGCGCCCCGCCUGGGGAGUACGAUCGCAAGAUUAAAACUCAAAGGAAUUGACGGGGCCCCGCACAAGCAGCGGAGCAUGCGGCUUAAUUCGACGCAACGCGAAGAACCUUACCAAGGCUUGACAUAUACAGGAAUACGGCAGAGAUGUCGUAGCCGCAAGGUCUGUAUACAGGUGGUGCACGGCCGUCGUCAGCU
RNAcentral lists this ribosomal RNA (286 nucleotides) under uncultured bacterium. Its description in RNAcentral is "partial 16S ribosomal RNA". It matches the Rfam family "Bacterial small subunit ribosomal RNA", at positions 773 to 1060 of the family's 1533-position model. The record is from RNAcentral.